Molecule: transfer RNA, 85 nt
Filed under: Felis catus (domestic cat)
Lineage: Eukaryota; Metazoa; Chordata; Mammalia; Carnivora; Felidae
Also listed under: 1 other name
Rfam family: tRNA
About the family: Transfer RNA (tRNA) molecules are approximately 80 nucleotides in length. Their secondary structure includes four short double-helical elements and three loops (D, anti-codon, and T loops).
Source: Rfam by way of RNAcentral
GCUUGGGUAGCUCAGUUGGUUGAGUGUCUGACUUCAGCUCAGGUCAUGAUCUCACAGUUUGUGGAUUCAAGCCCCACAUCGGGCU